ACCGCGGCGGCUAUGGUUUAUUAUUGUAUAUUUUUCAUAAUAAAAAUUGUAAACAAUACGAAUAUAAACUAUACAGUUGGUCUUUUCAUUACGUUUUGCGGCGAGAGGGAAUCCAGUGCAACAAGAUUCAAUAUUUUUCUGAUUAUAUUAUACAUUAUGUCGGCCGGAACGACCCGAACGAUAAUGCUACUAUGUCCACAACGUAUGUACAAGACACGACAACGGCAGCUCCGAUCCGCAACAUUGACCGUUUGUUGCCGUUUCUCUCUAUCUUACGUCCGGUGAAUAGAUCAACGAAAAGAACCGAUUGGCCUUUCUAGGCCGCAGUUUUGCCACGAUAUUGUUUGUUUUGUAUCUGUCGGUGAAAGUUGAAAAGGACUCAAAAAAAUUCAAUCAUAUCUUAACGGUGGAUUGUUGUGGUACGACCUAAAGGUUUUUCUCGGCCAUUCUUGUGACUUAAAUUCGGUGAGUAGUAUUUUAUUACCAUUACCCAUAAUUGCUUUUUGAAGUAUAUAUCGUAUUAAACAAAAUGUUGUUGUACCUGUCACUUGUACCCAAAUGUGGAAUGAUACUGUUGAUAAUGUUCUAAAUGUUCCCCGCACUUUUCAGUUUGUUUGAUAAUGGUUUAUCAAUUAUUAUACAAUUUGGAUACCUAUCUCUUAAGUUUAAUUUUGUCUAAUAAAUGGUUUAAAUUUGUUUUCAUCAGAAACAAUUCUUUAAGGAUGUUGUUAUUUCAUUAAUUUGUAUUCUGUCUUGAGAUUUACAUUUUGUUACAUUUUUAAUAACUAGUGUCCAGUGAUUAACCAACUACAUGCAGUUGUAUAUUUAGUAGUUUAAAUAGAAAUGUUAAGAUUCAAUAUUUUUAAUUGUAAGUAGGUAAACUAUUACCUUAAUACCUAAAUUUAAUAAUACAUUUAGCAUUUUAAUGUGUACACAAAUACAAUAUUAAAAAUACUUUUCAUUUUCAAAAUAGUAAAAUAUAAAAACUAAAUAACCAAAUUUCAUUUAUUUUGUUAACAUAGGUAAAUUAUAAAUGCAUUUAUUUUAUAAUAUUAUAUUAGGUAUAUGUUUUUUUAAAAAAUUUACUCCAUAAAAACCUCCAUAUGUUCAAAAAUUGUACAUAAAAAAUAAAUUACCUUUAUUGUUCAAUUUGAAUUUCAUGUUUCCAAUAACUGAAUAGUAGUUACUUAAGUAUAUUAGUCUAAUGAAUCUAAUGACCUUGAAGUUUUUCUAUGACUACCUAUAUGAAUAUAAUUUUAAUAAGAUGUAUUACUCUAAAGAAUUAUAAUAUAAUAACCUUUAUAAUAUAGGUGCCUAAUACAUAUCAGUACUGCAUACAUCAUAAGUCACAAAAAGCAAAUCUGUAGUAUGAAAACUAUCAUGCUGGUCAUACAUUAAAUUAAAUUAAACUAAAUAUUCUUUUUAAAUUGAGCAGACCAAUGCUUAUUUUAAUUUUAGUUGUUGGAUUUUGAUUUUUUUGGUUUUUGAUAAUUUUUUUAACCAAAUAAUUAUGUAUUAUUGUUAAUAAAUGAGUUAUGUUUUAUGUAAAACUGAAAAUUAUAUAUUAAAACUAUAAAAGUAUUUAAUACACUAAGGUAUUAUAAUGAGUACCUAAGUGGGUUGUGGAUAAAAAUUGUACCCCAUUACCCCUGUUGAUUUGAAACUUGCCUCUCCUCCAAAGAACUGUGAUAAAUCUGUCACUGACAUUUAUUAUAUUUAACUGUAGUUUGACCAAACCAUUGAUGACCUACAUAUUUUUAAAAUUAAUAUAAUAUUGUACAUAUUUAAAUAAUUUGAACUCCUUCAAUCUAUGUAUUAAUAAUAUUUAUAAAUUAUAAAAGAAAAAUUAAGUUACUUAUGUAAAUAAAAAAGUGUUAGUAUUAUUUUUCCUAAAUAAAAUGCAUUAAAUAUUUUUAAAAAAGUAGUUAUAAAAAUGAUAAAAUUAAACAAAAUUAAAAAAUACAACUUAAAAAAAGAGCUUGAAAGGAUUAUAAAUAAUAUAAGAUUGUACUUCUCUCAUUUUAAGCAUCAUAUAUUUGUAUUUCUUUCAGUGUAUUUUUUGUCUUAAACAACUACCAUGUCUAGUUAUAAUGACUACCAACAUUGGCCUCAAGAAUCUGCUUCAAAUACAGAUGAAGAUGAAUUAUCGUCACCUGAAAUUGAACAAGACGAAAGUAAUGAUGACACUGAAUCAUCAACAACAAGUACUAGUACAUCAGCUACUAGUAGUAGUGGUAGUAGUCAAUCAGGUUCAGAUUCUGAAAGUACUAGUACUGCCGAUGAAGAUGAAACUAUAUCACUAAAAACUGAAACAGCUUUAGCCAAUAAAACUGAACUUGUUUUACCAGUUGGGAUGUGUGAAGAUGAAGAAGUGUUCAAACAAUUAUUUUCUGUUAAUUCUUGGGUGUGCCUAAGUGAUCAGCAAAAACAACAUUUAAAGGUAUAUAAUUACAUUUCUACAAAUAAUAAUUUUAUAAACAAUUAAUGAUUAAACAGAUAUUCAAAAAAUCUGAAUAAAAUUUUAUAAAAUGUGGAAUAAGUAACCAUUAUUAUUUAGUCUGUCUCAGAUUUUGUAAUAAUUUAAUGCAAUUUUUUUAUUUAUGUAGAAUUUUCUUCCCACAUUUCCUGAAAAUGAUUUAAUGGAAAAGGAAAUUACUUUAAGGAUGCUUUUUGGUGGACAGAAUUUUCGUUUUGGAGUUAAUCCAAUUAAUGAUUUUCAUGAAAAAUUAAGAAAUGGACAUUUUCGUCCUGAUAUUGUCAAAAUGAAAUCACUUUUACGACGAUCUCUCAAAAGAGAAUAUAGGUAAGUAUAUUUUAAAUAUAAUUUUCCUUUAAAAUUGAAACUAAUAAUUACCAUUUUUUUGUAUUUUAGAAAAAAUCAACGUAUAUAUAGUUAUAAUAUAUUAAAAAAAAUUUUGUCUGGUCGAAAAAAAAUUAUUGAUGAUUUAAAUGGUUUUACAAAUACAUCUGUGACAAAUAAUAUUGGAGGUAUUCAGAGUUUCACUAUGCACCAACAAGUUAAAAGAAGAUAUUUUAGAGAACUUUCUGAUAUUAAACAUCUAAUAGGAGACAAUUCGGAAGAUAGUUCUGAUAGCAUUUAUCAAGGUUUGAAACUGUUCCAAGUUUUGUUUAUUCAUUUUCAUUAAUAAUUUAUAUUUGUUCUAUUUAGAAGGCCCUCCUCCUCGUUUAAGUAAAAAACAACGUCGCCAUUUAAGUGCUGUACAAAAUUCUCUUGCACCUGAUCUAGAAACUAUCACUUCUACAAUGGCAACUUAUCCAGAUGCUAUUGAUUUAUCUAAAGUUGCUUUACCAAUGAGUAAUCCAUUUGAUCCUACCGAGGAUAUGUAUAGAGAAAUGUUAAUAUCCCAUAAAAAAAAACAAAAGUACACUGAACAAGUAUGUUUUUUUUAUAUACUAUAUUAUGUAGUACUAAAUUUAUAAUUAUUUAAAACAAUUUUUUUUUUUUAAGGAACAAGAACAAAUCAGAUUUGAUUUAGUAAAAGAAUAUAAUAGGCCAACAGUAUUAUUGGGAGCUGAGAAAAAAAGGUCAGCGUUAAAUGACCGACCCCGGGUGAAGCGAACAAAACCUAUUAAACAACAAUCACAAUCCAUAACGCCCAUACAAAUAGAUGUAAAACCUCCUGUAUUGUUAGAUGAAUUCCAUAAUACUCCAAUUAAGCAAGAACAGGUUGAAUCAGAACCGAGUAGUAUUAGUAGUAUUUUAUAUGUUAAAGAAGAGGUUGUCUCUUCAUCUUCACCUUCACCACCAUCUCCACCAGUUUCACCACCUAUUACAAUAGCUUCACCAAAAUUAGUAACACCUAUAUCUGAUUUUAUUGAGGAAGAAUCAAUUAAAACUAAUUUGAAUGCCAUACAAUUAGACUCUUGUUUACCUAUUACUACUGAUUUAGUAAAAAUUGAAAAGGAUAUAAUACAAGAUAUUCCUAUUAAGAUGGAACCAAUAAGUUUAACAGCUGAUGAAAUACGUAAAGCAGAAGAAGGUCAGGUUGCAGCUAUGUUGUUAGAACAAAUGAGUAAUGUUGAACAAAAAUACAACACACCUUUAACACCAUCACCACCGCCACCACCGCCACCAUUACCUCUACCUCCGUCACCAGCAUUACCACUUGAAAACAUUUCAGAAUCUAAGUUUAGUCCACCUACCUAUCUCGUUAAAAGAGAGUUUCAUCCAGAAGAUAUGUUAACUAGUACGGUGCACUCUAUUAAUACUGAGUAAGUAUUAAUUUGUUUUAUUUUAAAUAUUUUUUUUCAAUAGCUAGUUAUUAUUUUAUUACAUAAUUUUAUUUAACAAAUAAUAUAAUUCUAAGAGUCGGACAAAACUUUUGGACUAGUUUACAGAAUUUUUUACUGUAUAAUUUAUAAAAUAAUACAUAGAAAUAGGUUAAGCUGUCAAGAAAUUGCUUUUCUAGUAGUGUGUAGAUUCAAAAAUUUAAAAUUAUUCAGUGAUAAUACUAUACUUAAUUUAGUCUAAGAUAAUUAUUGUAAUAAAAGUUUUAUUUCAAUUAGGUCUCCACCAAGGAUGUUGCAGUCAUGUUUACAUUCUCCAAAUAUGAAUAAUUACAGUUCUAAACAUUUAUCAUUAUCACCGGUAACUACUCCUAGUAAAGUAAUCACAGAUUCAAAUUAUGUUGGAUCACUGUCAGAGUUAGAAGGUUUCCAUGUAUUAGACAUUAAAGUUGACAGUACUGAGGAUUUAAAUAUGAAGUAAGUUACAUUUUAUAAUACAGUAUUUUUAAACUCCUUAAUCAAUUUUCCUAAUUUGUUGUAUAUAAUUUCAGACGUCAACUAAAAACAAAAAAGGUGGCUGUUAGUUUUUUUGUACUUAUAAGAGAUAUAAUCUGUUCUACCUGGGAACAUCGUAUGAAUAUGACCGCACUAUUGAAUAGUGUCCAAGAAUGGGUGAAGUCAACAUCAAAAAAUCAUCAGAAAAAUCCAGAUUGGUAUCAUUGUUUAGCAUUAAAAACUUGGCCUAAAGCCUUGCUAUCAGCUAUAGGCUUUUUAGCUGGGCAUUUUCCUGGUAAUUUGAGUAUUUUGUAUAUGUUAAAUGUUAUUUAUUUAACAUAUAGAAAUGUUUUCUUUAGAGUGGCAGCCGGAAGAUUUUGUUCCAUUUAUUGAAUAUAAACCUAAUUUAGAUACAUAUCAGUGGAUUGGCGCUGGUAGAGAUUCGGAUACUAGACUUGGAGAUUUAUGCAAAUGUUGGCUGUAUAAUUUGAAUAACAUGAGUUCAAAAGUAAAAGUUAUUAAAGAUGAAGUGAUUAGUAUUAAUACGUCUCCAAUACCAUCUACUACAAAUAUUAUUUCAUCAAUUGAAGUAUCAGAAACUGAUUCACCUACUUCUUUAUCAAUACCAUUAUUAGAUACAUGGAUAGUAACACCUUCCAAUACUGAAGAACGUUUAAUUUUCCAAGAACAAGUAUGUUUUAAUAUAAAUAAUAUUUAAAAUUAUAAGUACAAUUUUGAAUUAACAUUUAGGAAAGACAAAGAUUUUUAAAACCACAUCGCUCCUUUAUUUAUCGAAUGCACGGUUAUGAGUCAAUUGUGGGUCCUGUACGUGGUAUUUACAAUUCAUCAAAUAUACAUAAAGCGGCUCGUGGUCAUUCUUUGUUAAUUGAAAAUAGACCUCAUUUUAUAUCAAUUUUGGUAUUGGGUAAGUUAUAACUUAUGCUGUUUAUGCUGUAAGAGAUAAAAAAAUACAUAAUUCAAUUUAUAAACGAGCUCAUACUACUGAUGGGUGUGCUACUGUUGUAGGUAGGAAGUUGGGAAGGUAAGGAAUGUAAAAGUUCGAAAUGUACAAAUUUAGAAUUCUGAGUUUUACAGAUAUCAAAAUCUGAACUGUACAAAUCUAAAAAGAAUUUUUUUUUAAAUUUGACUAAAUUUUAGUCAUUGGUAGUUAAAAGCAUAGAGUAGCUCUUUAUGGGUUAAGGAAAUUGAUAAUUGUUAUCAACUGCCUUAAACUAUUAUAACUAAUUUAGUUGAAAUUUAAAAAUUUUACUCUAUAUAUAAGUGGUUAAACCCCGGAUUUUAGAUUUGUACAUUCUUUGUAUGUACAUUUCUGAUUUUUAUAGUUAUUUUAAGAUACAUAAAACUUAAUUUCUAUUUGAAUCCAACAAAAUCAUUUAAGAUUAAUUAUAAUUCUGAGUGAAGUUUGGUUAAACAUAUUUAGAAAUGCUGUGACUUUUAAAAUUUUGUCAAAUUUUGAAAUUAAAAUGUUCAUAAAAAAAAAAUUACAUUCAACUUUUUUUCUUGGUGUAACAUAACUAAUGGUGAAUCUUGUAUUAAAUUUUUUAACAUAUGAAAGCAUUAGUGGAAUAACUAGACAGCUCCAUUUUUUUUUCAAAAGUGAUAUUUUUAUAUACUUAUUUUAAUAAAAAAAAUAAUUUGUUGUUAUUUAUAUGUAAUAACACCAGUUAGAUCCGAUUAUUAUUACAGCAGUUAUUAUAAUGCAAAAGGAGCUAUUUGAUUGUCUGUGUUCUGAGGAAAAAUAGGACAGCUCUGAAGUUACUUUGUUUUUGCACCGAAUAAUGGUAAUACUGAAUAAUAUUAUUAUAUCAGCGGUAUCACAUACAAAAAAUGUUUUGAUAAUAGGAUAUUAUGUAAAGUUACAUGAUUUUUUUUUUUAAUAAAAGGUACUAUAUAUGUACAAUUUUUUCUGAUUUAUUAACAUUUAUAGUUACUCUUGUUACUAAUUCUUAAAUGUUUUUUCAUUCAAUUUUUCAUGUUUAUACUUAUAAAUAUGUAAGUUAUGACUUAAAAUACAAAAUGUAAACAAAACACAUGUAAAAAUUAGACAGCAAAAAAACAAAAAAAAAAUACAACUUAAAUUUUUAAAAGAUUUAAUUUCAUAUUAACUUGUAAGUAUCCUCAUUAACAACAAUUUCCAAAAUUCAAAAUAAAAUUGUCACGUUUGUAUAUUUUUUAAUUAAAAAAAAUUCUCUCCUGUAAAAUUUGAAAAAAAAGGAGAUCUCUGAUCAUUCCAUUGAUGCCUUUAAUCGGCUUGGACAAAAAAAUCCAUUGACAUAAAUCAAAAUAAAAAUUAUGUAAUUAUUAUAAAUCAUUUUCAUAAUAUUGUAUAUAUUAAUUGUACUUAUUGUAAAUUGGGCAUAAAGCUCACAUUAUGUUAUAAUUAGUUAAAUAGUACAAAAUGGUGCAAUUUUUAUGGUUUCCAUUGAAAUUUGAAUAUUAAACAAAUACUAUAUUAUAUAAUCUUUGUAUAAUAGUGUAAAUUUUUAAGAAAUUUUGAUCUUUUCAAAUAAUUUUACCCUCAUAAGAUAAAUAAUAACUAAAAAUAACUUGAAUAUGUCAAUGUCAGCAUGAUUAUAAUUAAUUCAAAAAUGUCUAAAAUAUUUUGAAAAUUUUACCAUGUUUAGAAAAUGCUAAUAUAAAGUGAAAAUUAAAGGUCUCUAUAAUUAUUUUUAAUCUAAUUACAACAAGAAAAUAAAACUGAAAAUAAUGAAUAUGUUAAUGCAGUAAACUUUCGUAAAGAAAACUGCUCAGGUAAAUAAUUAACAACUUUUUUACUCACCAAUCAGACAAAAUUUUCUUUCAAAAAAGAUGCUACUCUUGAAAUUUUGUAAAUAUAUAUUUUUUUAAUUAUAAAAUAUAUAAAAGUACUUAAUUUAGAAUAUAAAAAUCAAUAGUUAUUUUAAAUUUUAUUUUUUCAGUACGUGAUGCAACAGCUAGAUUACCUAAUGGAAUGGGAACUCGUAGUGAUAUUUGUACCUUACUUAAAGAUUCACAAUAUUUAAUGGAUGCAAACCAAACUGAAUUACACAAUGCAGUCAGUGGAGCUUUGGAUAGAUUACAUUAUGAAUAUGAUCCAUGUGUUAAGUAUGAUCCAAAACGUAAAAUAUGGAUUUACCUACAUAGAGGACGCUCGUUAGAAGAAUUUGGUACGUAUAUCAUUAUCAUAUAUUAUUAUAAAUUUAUAACUAAUUGAGGAGGGUCUUCAAUACAAAACUCAUUUUUUUCAUUUUUUUCAUAGACAAAAUGUGAUUUUUUCUUUGAUGCAAAAUAUUAUUUUUCCAUUUCAUUUCAAAUAAAUCUUUUUAAUGUAAUUGUACCUUACAUAGUAAUUCAUUGCAAAAUGGACUAUUUCUUAUAUUAUAUAGUCUAUUUCUAUUAUAAAACAAAAUGCUCCUUCUUUUCCUUUACAUCUAAUAUGUCUGAUUAAAUUAUUAUUUUUAUAUUAUUAAGAAAAUAUUUUCAUAAAUUAUGAUAUGAUAACUUCAAAUUAUGAUGUCUUUAGAUAAAGUUCAUUGUGCUAGUUUUCGAGAUUUAUCUGAAAAUGAUUAGAAUUUGGUUUGACAUUUCUGUAAUGCUGCCUAGACCCAUAGUAAUUUAGUGCACACAAAAUAAACUAAUCGAGGGUUAAUUUUCAAUUAAUUUCCUCUAAUCCCUUCCUUUUUAUCUGGGGCCAAAUAGACAAAGCAAUUUGACUUUUAAAAAUAAUAGUAUUUGGUAUUUAAAUAUAGGUAUAGAAUUUAUGCUUAAAAAACCAUAAACAAAAUGUAUGAUAUUUCAAAAACUUCACUUAUAGUUAAUUUUCAUAGAGAAUUUUUUUUCUCAACUAAAUAAGCUUUAUCUAAAAACAUCAUAAUUUUUAGUUUUCAAAGUUAUUGGAAUUGAGCCAGAAUUAUAUUUAUUCUACGCAUUAAAUUAAAAUUUGUUUAAAAUGUACUAGUCGAUUCUAACUUCAUACCAAUGUAAGAUAUUGGACUAUAUAGAUCAGUGUAUCUUAAACUUUGAUUUGUGGAAACCUGGUAGUCCACGAAUAAUGAUUGUCCCCCAAAAAAACUGGCAGCAAAGGCAACAGUUACGGCAUGACAAUAUUAAGACUUCAAUAAUAAUGUUAUAACCACAUAUUAUAAUAUUCUUAGUUAUUAUCAAUUUUGACUGUCUGUUGUCAUGUACGUGUUUAAUCAUUUAUUAUAACAAUAUUAAAACUGAUAUGAGUAAACAAAAUAAGUUAUAUUUUUUAUAUUUUAGGAGUUCUGCAUAAAAAAAAUAUUGUUUGGUGUUCUAAAAUCUCAAAAAGUUUAAAAAACACUGUUAUAAAUACUAUAAUACUAUAUCCAAAUAAAAUCUUAUUAAUUAUGCUAAUUUUCAAUUUUCUUAUUCUGUCAGUGAAAAAUUUAUCCACCAGAUAUCUUGCAGUAAUAAUUAAAAUUAGUUAUGAUUUUUAGUAACAAAUUUUGUCUAGUUAAUGCCUUGAGGAAGUGAUUUUCUUGUAGUUAACUUAAAAAUUGGAGAAAAUGUACACCUUAACGGUUUCUGUUUUCAUUAUUACUUUUUUGCAAUUUGGUUAAAAAUAACUGUAGAGAUAAUUUUUGUAUUGAAUACUUUUAUUAAUAUUUAAACUUGGUACAAUUUUCUUAAUAUACCUAAUGGUUAUUUUUGAGCUGUUCAGUUUUUUAAAAUUUUUAAAGGUUUUAUUUGGUUUUCUGGAUACAAUUAUUGUGGCCUAGCAAAUAUUCUCUAUGAAAAUCUUAAAAAAUCCCACCAUUUUUAAAUAUAUUGAGCUAACACAACAUACUUAUUCUGUAAAAGGACCAUUUUACAUAAAACAACUUUUUACAAUCUCAAAAAGAGCAAUAAAGGACUUAAACUGGAAAGUAAUUUUUUUUUAAAAACCUUAAAGUAUGGUAUAUACACCAAUUAAAAAUAAUCAAAACAGAAAACCUGCUCUUCUGAAAAUUGAGAAAAGUAUGUUUUGCAUUGAAUAUCCUCAAUGAUUAUAAAUUUAAUUAUCAAUAUUUUUAUACUAUGUUAUAGAACGGUUGCAUUUGGAACAACAAGGUGCAGUUAAGAUAAAAAGCUGGCGUAGAAACAAAACUCCCAAAAAAUCACCGGAGCCUAAACGUGCACCAAACAAAAAACUAAAAUCCAAUGCCCUUCUCGAAUCAUUUUCAAUGCUAGAUUUACCUACAAGUUCGACAUCAGAUUCUAUGCCAAGUUCAAGCACUUCGCCUGUCUUACCUGAUAUAAAUAUGCGUUUAACUCAGGAAAUUACGAGUAUAGAUAGUUUAAAACAAACUGUAAAACCAUCUCGGUGUUCUAAAAAUAAAAAAAUGCCAAUACAGGCUAUGCAAACAACCGAUAAUGCAGUUGAGCUAAACAUAAAAUGUCCUCCAGUUAUUGAUCAAAAUAGUACUGAAGCUUCCAAAAUGUUUGCCAUGCCUGUGUCCAACAAUAUUUCAACAGUUACACCUAAUAUUAGCUCAAUUAUCAGUACCAGUACCAUGACUAAUCAAUCAAUCACUACUAACAAUAGAAGCCAAUCAGUUGCUAAUAUAAAUCAAUCAAUCACCUGUAACACGAGUAAACCAAUUUCUAGUACCUUUAUUAAUCAGUCAAUUGCUAGUAACAUUAAUACUGGUCAACCAAUUGUUAGUAAUAUUACUAGUCAAUCAAUUACUAGUAACAUUACUAGUCAACAAAUUGCUAAUAAUAUUGCUGGUCAAUCAAUAUCUAAUAGUUUUGGCAGUCAAUUAAUUUCUAGUAAUAUUGGUCAAUCAAUUUCUAGUAAUUUUACUAGUCAAUUAAACAGCAAUAACAUUACUAGACAAUCAUUUGCUAAUAACAUUAUAAAUAAAUCUAUGGCCAGUUCAAGUCUAAAAGUUAACACUCAAACUGUUGCCAAUAGUGGACAGAUGAUCAACAUUGCACAAACUAAAAAUAGCAAUAAUCAAACUCUUGUUGGUAACAAUAAAAUGGUUGUAAACAGCAUUAGCUCAAAUGUAUGUAAUUUUAAUGAUAAACAAGUACUUUCAUCUGGAGAUUUGAUAACAAUUGGUGCUAGAAAGAAAACAAAAAACGUUCAAAUUGCUCAACCAGUUAACAUCGGACAGCCAUCUGGUAUGUUGUAUUUGUAUUUUUAAUUAAAAAAUUUUUUUUAUAUUAUCAAUUUUAUCAUUUAUUUGUAUUUUAGGACCUCUAAAUUUCCAACAAGAUCAUCAUACUAUUACUAAAUCGCCUUGUAACAAAGAACCACAACAACGGCAAAUAUUAGUGUUGCAACAAAAGCGAUCUGAUCAUUCUAUUUCUAGUUCUGAACAAAAUACAACAGCUCUUAGUCAUAAUGAACCACAAUCUAUUCAUCAUCUUCUUCAACUGCAACAGCGACAUAAGUUACAAAAACAACAAGAAAUGCAACUGAAACUCUUGCAACGUAAACAAAUACAGCAGCAAACUUUGCAGCAAAACAAACAACAAGUCAUUAUAAGGAAAUCAGAUGUUGAGGAAAAAAUAGAAACUGGUGAUAGUGAACAUCCUCAAGUUAUAUUUGUAAAACAGGGUCCAAGAGGAGUUCAAACAGAGACACAACAAAUAACACAACAUCAAUUGCAACAAAUAUUAAUGAUGAGGCCACAGCAACAGAUAGGACAACAACCACAGGUUGUUAUGGUUAAACAACCGGGAAAUGAACAAAAAUCAAUUGCACUCAAGGUUUGUAUACCUAUAAUAAAUUAAUCUUGAACAUAAUUAAAUAAGUUUUCUGAAUUGAUUCUGAAGAAUAAGUAUUAAUUGUCUUCUUUUUUUCUUUUUUUUUUUUUUAACAAUGUAUGAUUUAGGAGCUAGAGUUAUAACAUAAACAAGGUUGUGAUUUGAUAUUCUAGUCAAUGUAACUUACAUUGAAAAAUAUUUAAACAAACAUAACACAUUUUUUAGUUAAAAAAAUAAAACAAGUAGAUUACAUAAAAUAUUAUUUUAUACUAUUUGUGAACAUAUUAAUUGUAAUAAAAAAUGUAUUUUUAGUAUUUUAUUUGUCAAUAUUGGAAUCGGUAAAUAAAAUAUAUGAUUGCUUAUAGUUCAUUAUUAUUAAAAAUUUUGACUAUAUAUUUUUAAUACCUAUAAAAUUAUAGUAUUGCAUUAUUUAUAUUCUAGCCAAUACUGACAUCACUUCGUGGUACGCAAAUUCAACCAAAUUCACCAAAUUCUACUAAUUUGUUGUUACAAACAAAACAAACUGGUCAAAAUGUACAACGAAGAAUUACCAAACCAAUUGUUGGCAAGCUCAUGACUAAUCAAAGAACUCAGUUACCAGUUGACACUGUUCUUACAAAUAGAAAAUUACCUGUUGUUUCUCAAGGUUGGUGAUUUAAGAAUUGUUGUCAAUUUAUAAUUUUAAUUGUAUUUAUUAUUUAGGAACAUCAUUACGAAUUUCUGGUGUACAAACAUCAAAGAGUGGUCAACCACAGUAUACAGUUGUUACUGUUGCUCAACCAAAACUUAUGCCAUCAAAUCAAUUAAAUAUUGGACAGGUAAUUAUGGUAAAUUCCUUUUAAACUUAUAUAAAUACCUUUAUUUUUAUAGCAAACACCUUCUCGUUUAUCGGCUAUAAAUGAUCGUUUAAAAUCUAGUGAAACCAACCAACCACAAACUCUACGUGUAGUUCAGUCACAAAUUGCCGGAAAACCUUUAUUAGUGACAAACAAAGUAAGUUAAUAUAGAGUUCUCUAAAAGUAUUGUUAAGUAUAAUUAAUGUUCAUAGGCACAAAUUUCAUCUGGUCAUACUGGUAUAUCAACAUCUCCUAACAUAGUAUCAUCAACUGUAGUGAAUUCUACAGCUAACACUUACACUGUACUGCAACAAGGCUCUCAGCAAAUACUUGUACCGGCAAAUUCGUUAAAGUCUAUUCAAGGUUUAAAAGUUAUACCACUAUCGCAACAUAGCGUUAAAGGUUUGUCAGGUUAUUCUUUUACUUGUAUUAGUUUGCAUAUUUUUGAAGUUAAAAAUGCAUUAUAGGACGUUCUCAAAUGUAUGCUCGAAUUGUAAAUCCUGAUAAUGUGAGGCCUGUGUUCAUUCAACAACCACCCAAUCAAGAUAGUAACCCAGGACCGAGUGAAUCAAAUACUUAACCCCUGAGAUAUUAGUUCCUUAUUUAUUAUUAUUUAUAUUUAUACAGUAUAUACGGUCGUUAUGCAAUUGUAAUGACUUAACUUUAUAAACCAUAAGGUUUAAUAUAACUCAAGUCUACAUAAUGUGUGUAGUCUGAUCGUUACCUACUUUUUUGUUUUAUAUUUAUAUCCUUUUUAUUUGCUUCAAUAAACUUUACUGAGAGGAUUUAUUGUUGUUUAAAGACUUGUAUAGUUAAGGAAUAUUAAGUUUUGUAAAAUAUUAGGACUUUUUCUGUUAUCUGUCACUGUUUUUCAAAAUAAUAUUUCUUAUUUUUUUACUAUUUAAAAACAUAUACAAACUUUCUUCUAUUUUAAAAAGAAUUAUAGACUUGAGUGAAAAAACAUAUAAUACACUAUUUAAUAAUAAGUAGUACAGAUAAACAAAGGGACAUUUUUUUUUAAGAUGCGAGGACACCAAAGAUUGAAUAUUUCUUCAACAGUGGGUGUAAGAUAUGCAUUUGCCAUUCUUCUAGCAAAUGAUUUCUGUUAGUUUUUCAUCUCAGAAUAAUUUUCAAUUAUUUUAACUUAAACAAAUUAAGUAUGCACAUCGAGUGAUUAGAAAUAUAUCUAAAGAAUGCCUCACUUGUAUCCUACUUAUAUUGAAAUAUAUUAACACAUUAAAAGGAUACUUAAUAUUUAAGGGGUUGUUUAUAGAAAAUUAAAUAAUUUUGCUAAACAUUUUCGAAAAAUUAAAAUUUAUUACCUGAAAAAUAUUCAAAUUUACUUUCAAAUACUUUAAUAUAAAUGUAUUUUUUACUGUUUAUGUUUUACUGUGUAAUCUUCAAAACCAUGUUAACUUUAAACAGAAAACAGUACCCUUCAAGUGAUUUUAGGGUUUUUUAAGAUAAAAAUUGUCUUUAUUGUUGAUUGAUAAUAUAUUGAUUUUCAAUUAACUUGAAUGUGAAAGUAGAUAUUCAAGAAUAAAAAAUUCCUUAGAUUAAGUGGUGCUCUUUAAUAUUUUCAAGUUCAAAAACACAUGCCAACAUCCUCUUCACAUAUUUAACAAUCAUUUCCUGAUCUUUGUUUAUCUGUCAAUGUGUCAUCAAACAAUAUAUUAUAAAACCAAAAUGGAUGUAUAUAGAAAUACUAUAUUUAAUAAUAUAAUUAAUCUAAUAUAAAUUUUUUACUAUAAUUAAAUAGGCACUUACAUGAGGUUAUUUAGAGACGUCAAUCGAAAAGUUCAUUUAUCUUAAAGAAUAUUAAAUAAAUGGAAUUUUACACACUCAAAUUAAUUUUAUACUAUUUAGGUACCCAACAUUUUGGUUUUUUAUUCUAGAAUAAUAAAUAUUAAAAUAGAAGAAUUUAAAUUAUCUGUGUAAUACAUGUUUUUAGAUAGUUAAAGAAUAAUAAAAAAAAAUAAAAAAAUAUUUUAAUAUUUUUUUACAUCUAUACCUGUUUUAACCAACGUGUUUAUAAAAAUAAAUGUUUGAAUAAUAAUUAUAGCAUAUAAACUAAUUUUAUACCAUGCAUUUUUAAAUUUUAUUUUAAGGUUAUUUUUAUUUGAUUUAAAG
This 14429-nucleotide long non-coding RNA is filed under the name Cinara cedri. Lineage: Eukaryota; Metazoa; Arthropoda; Insecta; Hemiptera; Aphididae. The record is from RNAcentral.